Molecule: ribosomal RNA, 497 nt
Filed under: uncultured bacterium
Lineage: Bacteria
Description: partial 16S ribosomal RNA
Rfam family: Bacterial small subunit ribosomal RNA
Source: RNAcentral
GAUGGACGCUGGCGGCGUGCCUAAUACAUGCAAGUCGAGCGAACAGACGAGGAGCUUGCUCCUCUGACGUUAGCGGCGGACGGGUGAGUAACACGUGGAUAACCUACCUAUAAGACUGGGAUAACUUCGGGAAACCGGAGCUAAUACCGGAUAAUAUAUUGAACCGCAUGGUUCAAUAGUGAAAGACGGUUUUGCUGUCACUUAUAGAUGGAUCCGCGCCGCAUUAGCUAGUUGGUAAGGUAACGGCCUACCAAGGCAACGAUGCGUAGCCGACCUGAGAGGGUGAUCGGCCACACUGGAACUGAGACACGGUCCAGACUCCUACGGGAGGCAGCAGUAGGGAAUCUUCCGCAAUGGGCGAAAGCCUGACGGAGCAACGCCGCGUGAGUGAUGAAGGUCUUCGGAUCGUAAAACUCUGUUAUUAGGGAAGAACAAAUGUGUAAGUAACUAUGCACGUCUUGACGGUACCUAAUCAGAAAGCCACGGCUAACUACGUG